RNAcentral lists this transfer RNA (85 nucleotides) under Felis catus (domestic cat). It matches the Rfam family "tRNA". From Rfam's summary of the family: Transfer RNA (tRNA) molecules are approximately 80 nucleotides in length. RNAcentral also lists the same sequence under 1 other name. The record is from Rfam by way of RNAcentral. Lineage: Eukaryota; Metazoa; Chordata; Mammalia; Carnivora; Felidae.
GCCUGGGUGGUUUAGUCGGUUAAGCCUCCGACUUCGGCUUGGGUCAUGAUCUCAUGUGAUGUGGGUUCGAGCCCCACAUCAGGCU